UCUAGAAAUUGGUGUUUGGUAUUUCAGU
This 28-nucleotide non-coding RNA is filed under the name Mus musculus (house mouse). Lineage: Eukaryota; Metazoa; Chordata; Mammalia; Rodentia; Muridae. The record is from RNAcentral.